UGGCACAACAUUUCCCUAAAACUACUGAGGAAAACCCUAUAUUUGUAGUAAGCCGGGAACCUCUGAAUACCAUAGGAUUAAUAUAUGAAAAAAUUUCCCUCCCUAAAGUACAUCCACGUUAUGAUUUAGACGGGGAUGCUAGCAUGGCUAAGGUUAGUAUUUAAUUGAAUGACUAUGUAAACAUCUGAAUUUAAUGUAUCCUAUCAAUAGUGGAAGCAAUAACAUGUAUUGUGUCUUCAUGUAUGCCUAUAUGACCGGAAAUUAUUCACUUAAAUUGAUACCCUUUCCAAGUUAUUUUGUGGUCUUUCUUUUUUACUUUUUAUCCUUUCUUGAAUUCAUUAUAUAAGAAAAUUCUCUCCACUGAGAUAGUGCAUGUUUAGAUAAUGUUAAGGAUAACAUAUUUGUUAUAUUUAUAUCUAUUUUUAACUCUUAGAAAUUGGUUUAUUGUGUUUUUAAUUAACCUGAUGAAAAUGUGUAAGCUUGAAUAAUUUUGUGUAAAAUUUUUUCUUAACCUAUACCACAAUUAGCACCAAAUAUUGACAUUUUAUUUCUUUAUUAGGCAAUAACAGGGGUUGUGUGUUAUGCCUGCAGAAUUGCCAGUACCUUACUGCUUUAUCAGGAAUUAAUGCGAAAGGGGAUACGAUGGCUGAUUGAAUUAAUUAAAGAUGAUUACAAUGAAACUGUUCACAAAAAGACAGAAGUUGUGAUCACAUUGGAUUUCUGUGUCAGAAACAUUGAAAAAACUGUGAAA
This 751-nucleotide small RNA is filed under the name Pongo abelii (Sumatran orangutan). RNAcentral describes it as "retained intron". The record is from RNAcentral. Lineage: Eukaryota; Metazoa; Chordata; Mammalia; Primates; Hominidae.